RNAcentral lists this ribosomal RNA (1230 nucleotides) under metagenome. Its description in RNAcentral is "bacterial SSU rRNA". It matches the Rfam family "Bacterial small subunit ribosomal RNA", at positions 233 to 1459 of the family's 1533-position model. The record is from RNAcentral.
ACGUCUGAUUAGCUAGUUGGUGAGGUAAUGGCUCACCAAGGCGACGAUCAGUAGCGGGUCUGAGAGGAUGAUCCGCCACACUGGGACUGAGACACGGCCCAGACUCCUACGGGAGGCAGCAGUGGGGAAUUUUGGACAAUGGGGGCAACCCUGAUCCAGCCAUUCCGCGUGAGUGAAGAAGGCCUUCGGGUUGUAAAGCUCUUUCAGCAGGAACGAAACGGUAGGGGCUAAUACCCUCUGCUAAUGACGGUACCUGCAGAAGAAGCACCGGCUAACUACGUGCCAGCAGCCGCGGCAAUACGUAGGGUGCGAGCGUUAAUCGGAAUUACUGGGCGUAAAGCGUGCGCAGGCGGAUUGUUAAGCAAGACGUGAAAUCCCCGGGCUUAACCUGGGAAUGGCGUUUUGAACUGGCAGUCUAGAGUGUGUCAGAGGGGGGUGGAAUUCCACGUGUAGCAGUGAAAUGCGUAGAGAUGUGGAGGAACACCAAUGGCGAAGGCAGCCCCCUGGGAUAACACUGACGCUCAUGUACGAAAGCGUGGGUAGCAAACAGGAUUAGAUACCCUGGUAGUCCACGCCCUAAACGAUGUCAACUGGUUGUUGGGGGAGUGAAAUCCCUUAGUAACGAAGCUAACGCGUGAAGUUGACCGCCUGGGGAGUACGGUCGCAAGAUUAAAACUCAAAGGAAUUGACGGGGACCCGCACAAGCGGUGGAUGAUGUGGAUUAAUUCGAUGCAACGCGAAAAACCUUACCUACCCUUGACAUGUCCAGAAUCCUGCAGAGAUGCGGGAGUGCCCGAAAGGGAAUUGGAACACAGGUGCUGCAUGGCUGUCGUCAGCUCGUGUCGUGAGAUGUUGGGUUAAGUCCCGCAACGAGCGCAACCCUUAUCAUUAGUUGCUACGCAAGGGCACUCUAAUGAGACUGCCGGUGACAAACCGGAGGAAGGUGGGGAUGACGUCAAGUCCUCAUGGCCCUUAUGGGUAGGGCUUCACACGUCAUACAAUGGUCGGUACAGAGGGUUGCCAAGCCGCGAGGUGGAGCCAAUCCCAGAAAGCCGAUCGUAGUCCGGAUUGUUCUCUGCAACUCGAGAGCAUGAAGUCGGAAUCGCUAGUAAUCGCGGAUCAGCAUGUCGCGGUGAAUACGUUCCCGGGUCUUGUACACACCGCCCGUCACACCAUGGGAGUGGAAUCUGCCAGAAGUAGGUAGCCUAACCGCAAGGAGGGCGCUUACCA